AACACAAAUUUCACAAGCACAAGUUCAUCAUAGGAUUACAAGCAUGGGUGCAUUGGUCAAUGAGGCCUCCAAUAUCGCAGAGCAAAGCAACAUUGAGAACAGUAGCCGAGCCCAGAGGACCCAAUGGGUGCUUAAUGCUCCUAACCCACCUAGUCUGUGGCGUGAGUUUGUGGAAUCGAUUAAAGACAACUUUUUCAUUGAUCAUGGAAGCAUGUUCUCCUCCUCUUCAACACAGAAACAAAGAUGGAGAUUUGCUAUUUGGGUCUUCAGGGUCUUCAGGGCUUUGUUUCCAGUCUUUGAUUGGGGUCGGAGUUACAAGCUCUCAAAGUUCAAGAGCGAUUUAAUGGCUGGCCUUACUCUGGCAAGUCUCAGCAUUCCACAGAGCAUUGGAUAUGCUAAUCUAGCAAAGCUUGAUCCACAGUAUGGGCUAUAUACUAGUGUUGUCCCACCUGUGAUCUAUGCUUUAAUGGGGAGCUCAAGAGAGAUAGCCAUUGGACCUGUGGCUGUGAUCUCUCUGCUUUUAUCUUCCAUGGCUCAGAAAAUAGUGGAUCCUGUGAGUGACCCAAUUGGUUACAGAAAGCUUAUCUUUACUGCAACUUUCUUUGCUGGCACAUUUCAAGCUGCUUUUGGAUUCUUCAGGUUUGGAUUUCUUGUGGAUUUCCUCUCACAUGCUGCCAUUGUUGGGUUCAUGGGAGGUGCAGCCAUUGUCAUAUCUCUGCAACAAAUGAAGGGACUACUUGGGAUUAGUCACUUCACUGAUAAAACAGAUGUGAUCUCUGUCAUUGAGGUUGUUUGGAGAUCAAUUCAUACUUCAUGGAACCCUUUGAACUUUCUAAUUGGAUGUUCUUUCUUGAUUUUCAUCCUGAUGAUCAGAUAUUUGGGAAGAAGGAACAGGAAAUUCUUCUGGUUACCAGCAAUUGCUCCUCUCAUAUCUGUCAUCUUAUCAACUCUCAUAGUGUUCCUGACAAGAGCAGAUAAGCAUGGAGUUAAGAUACUAAAGCACAUCAAAAGAGGCUUGAAUCCCAGUUCAGCAGGUCAGCUACAGCUAAAAGGCCCACUUGUGGGAGAGGCUGCUAAGAUUGGAUUGAUUUCUGCCAUUAUCGCUCUCACGGAAGCAAUGGCUGUUGGGAGAUCAUUCGCAACCAUAAGAGGGUACCAUCUUGAUGGGAACAAGGAAAUGGUGGCCAUGGGGAUGAUGAACGUUGCAGGAUCUUUAACUUCAUGUUAUGUAUCAACAGGCUCCUUCUCUCGGACGGCCGUCAAUUUUAGCUCCGAAUGCCAGACGGUGUUGUCAAAUGUUGUGAUGGCGGUGACGGUGCUCAUAUCAUUAGAAUUGUUUACUAGACUCUUAUAUUUCACUCCCACUGCCAUCCUUGCUUCCGUAAUCCUAUCUGCACUGCCGGGACUAAUUGACAUCAGAGAAGCUUACAAUAUAUGGAGGGUGGACAAACUGGACUUCCUUGCUUGCAUUGGAGCCUUUUUUGGAGUGUUGUUUGCAUCAGUUGAGAUUGGUCUUCUAACGGCAGUAACCAUCUCCUUUAUGAAGAUCCUACUAAUUGCCAUCAGACCACAUACAGAAGUCCUUGGGAGGCUCCCUGGCUCUGAUAUUUUCUGCAGCAUUACUCAAUACCCAAUUGCUGUUAAGAUUCCUGGCGUCCUCACAAUCCGCAUUCACUCUAACUUUCUUUGUUUUGCCAAUUCCAAUUUCGUAAGAGAAAGGAUAAUUAGGUGGGUGAUAGAUGAAGAAAAAGAAGUGAAAGAAACAAAAGGGAGCAUUCAAGUAGUAAUCCUUGACUUAUCUGGUAUUUUCUAAUCUGAUGAACAUUGACACAUCAGGGAUUCAAGCUUUAGAAGAACUGCAAAAGAAGUUGGUUUCUCAAGGUAUAGAGUUAGCCCUAGCCAGCCCUUGUUCGCAAGUGAUUCACAAGUUAAAAUUAUUUAAGUUUGUCGAGAAGAUUGAAGGAAGAGUCUUCCUUACGAUGGGUGAAGCUGUUGAUGGCAUAUGUUGCGGGUCUAAGAUGGUUGGCCCCUAAGAGCUAGAGGCAAAGCUAUGUGAUUUGAUAUUAUAACCAUAUGACGUAAACCAAAUAAGACAAAGAGUAACUAUCUAUAUGAUAUUGAGUUUUUAAUUAUGAUGUGUUAUA
RNA transcript from Telopea speciosissima, 2144 nucleotides. It is a transcript of the gene named low affinity sulfate transporter 3-like, with no coding region annotated. The transcript is spliced from 12 exons. NCBI's taxonomy places the organism in Eukaryota, Viridiplantae, Streptophyta, Magnoliopsida, Proteales, Proteaceae. The record is from RefSeq and is a predicted model, not a curated record.